GGCAAACUCGCUGAAAGGCGGGGACGCAAAGCUAUGAGUCUACGGCGCGGUGCGCUAAGAUCGUCAGGCUGC
This 72-nucleotide non-coding RNA is filed under the name uncultured Faecousia sp. Its description in RNAcentral is "Cyclic di-GMP-I riboswitch". It matches the Rfam family "c-di-GMP-I riboswitch aptamer", at positions 11 to 83 of the family's 87-position model. From Rfam's summary of the family: GEMM was predicted in a large-scale screen for bacterial structured RNA regulatory elements. Genes associated with GEMM are involved in a diverse array of functions, including chemotaxis regulation, signal transduction, secretion and chitin. The record is from RNAcentral. Lineage: Bacteria; Bacillati; Bacillota; Clostridia; Eubacteriales; Oscillospiraceae.